GCCCAGAUUAAAACAAAAUGAACGGCUGUGAUCAAAAGGCAAGGGGUUAUAAAUAGAACCCCCACACCAGACCACAAACCCUAGCCGCCAACCGCUCGCCGGAGAAGACGAACCAGAGGCCGACCGCCGCCACCCGCCGCCACUCGCCGCCGCACCGGGGAAAUUUCCGACCGCCGAUCGAGGUAAAUUUCAUACCCCCGACUCGUUUUUUCCCACUGAUUCCUCCUAUGGCCAAAUCGAAGCCGAAAUCCCGGCCAAACGGCCGGAAUACGCGGCCGAAGCCCAGCGGCGCCGCCGCGCCCCCUCUCGGUUUUUGCCUCCGACGAGGCCCUUCCCGGCCUCCGUUCGAUGCAAUUUUUAUAUCACCGUGAUCACCAUUCUUUUCUCUACAGGUUGACCGGAGCCGAAUCACCAAAACACGAACCUCGCCGGAGAGUCGCCGCACCCGAGAGCGCCGCCGCCGGUAAGCUCCGUUUUUCCGUGAUUUUUUGGCCCCCCGAGGGCCCUAAGGUUGUUUUCUGACAAGGACCAAUGCGAGUGUGGCCGAAUUCGGCCGAAAACGGCCGAAAACAGCCAACCCGAGGCGACUCGCCGCCGCCAGCGGCGGCGCCGUCGCCGGAGCACGGCGGAGCCGCCUUGCCGGAGUUGCGAUUUGGG
RNAcentral lists this long non-coding RNA (657 nucleotides) under Carica papaya (papaya). RNAcentral describes it as "long non-coding RNA (CPAP_LNC015257)". The record is from RNAcentral. Lineage: Eukaryota; Viridiplantae; Streptophyta; Magnoliopsida; Brassicales; Caricaceae.